GCUGGAAGGUUAAGAGGAGUGGUUGGCACAGCCGAAGCGACGAAUCGAAGCCCCAGUGAACGGCGGCCGUAACGAUGGCGGUCCUCAGGUAGUGUAAUUGCUUGGCGGGUAGGUUCCGUGCCGCACGAAGGGCGUAACGCUUUGGGUGCUGUCUCAACGCGAGCGUCGGUGACGUCGUAGUCCCGGUGAGGAUGCGGGUUUCCCGCGGCAGGACGGAAGGACCCCGUGAAGCUUUGCUGUAGGCUGAUGUUGAAAUUCGGUACGGUUUGUGCAGGAUAGGUA
RNAcentral lists this ribosomal RNA (282 nucleotides) under Staphylococcus pseudintermedius. RNAcentral describes it as "partial 23S ribosomal RNA". It matches the Rfam family "Bacterial large subunit ribosomal RNA", at positions 1868 to 2149 of the family's 2925-position model. The record is from RNAcentral. Lineage: Bacteria; Bacillati; Bacillota; Bacilli; Caryophanales; Staphylococcaceae.